This 145-nucleotide unclassified non-coding RNA is filed under the name uncultured Helotiales. RNAcentral describes it as "sequence contains ITS2". Lineage: Eukaryota; Fungi; Ascomycota; Leotiomycetes; Helotiales. The record is from RNAcentral.
CAACCCUCAAGCACUGCUUGGUGUUGGGCCUCGCCGGUUUUGGCGGGCCUUAAAAUCAGUGGCGGUGCCGUCUAGGCUCUGAGCGUAGUAAAUAUCCUCGCUACGGAGACCAGGCGGUUCUUGUCAUUAACCCCCAACUUCUUAA